Molecule: ribosomal RNA, 119 nt
Filed under: Pteropus alecto (black flying fox)
Lineage: Eukaryota; Metazoa; Chordata; Mammalia; Chiroptera; Pteropodidae
Source: RNAcentral
GUCUACUGCCAUGCCACCCUGAACAAGCCCGAUCCCGUCUGAUCUCGGAAGCUAAGCAGAGUCAGGCCUGGUUAGUACUUGGAUGGGAGACCACCUAGGAAGACCAAGUGCUGUAGGUG